GUUCUUGUAGUUGAGAUAACAACGAUGGCUUUUCGAGCCAUAGACCUUGGUUGAGGCCAAGUAAGAACUU
This 70-nucleotide transfer RNA is filed under the name Rhynchopsitta pachyrhyncha (thick-billed parrot). RNAcentral describes it as "tRNA-Glu". It matches the Rfam family "tRNA". From Rfam's summary of the family: Transfer RNA (tRNA) molecules are approximately 80 nucleotides in length. Their secondary structure includes four short double-helical elements and three loops (D, anti-codon, and T loops). Further hydrogen bonds mediate the characteristic L-shaped molecular structure. tRNAs have two regions of fundamental functional importance: the anti-codon, which is responsible for specific mRNA codon recognition, and the 3' end, to which the tRNAs corresponding amino acid is attached (by aminoacyl-tRNA synthetases). tRNAs cope with the degeneracy of the genetic code in two manners: having more than one tRNA (with a specific anti-codon) for a particular amino acid; and 'wobble' base-pairing, i.e. permitting non-standard base-pairing at the 3rd anti-codon position. The record is from RNAcentral. Lineage: Eukaryota; Metazoa; Chordata; Aves; Psittaciformes; Psittacidae. RNAcentral also lists the same sequence under 1 other name.